This 1129-nucleotide ribosomal RNA is filed under the name Salmonella enterica. RNAcentral describes it as "partial 23S ribosomal RNA". It matches the Rfam family "Bacterial large subunit ribosomal RNA", at positions 711 to 1758 of the family's 2925-position model. The record is from RNAcentral. Lineage: Bacteria; Pseudomonadati; Pseudomonadota; Gammaproteobacteria; Enterobacterales; Enterobacteriaceae.
AGACCCGAAACCCGGUGAUCUAGCCAUGGGCAGGUUGAAGGUUGGGUAACACUAACUGGAGGACCGAACCGACUAAUGUUGAAAAAUUAGCGGAUGACCUGUGGCUGGGGGUGAAAGGCCAAUCAAACCGGGAGAUAGCUGGUUCUCCCCGAAAGCUAUUUAGGUAGCGCCUCGUGAAUUCAUCUCCGGGGGUAGAGCACUGUUUCGGCUAGGGGGCCAUCCCGGCUUACCAACCCGAUGCAAACUGCGAAUACCGGAGAAUGUUAUCACGGGAGACACACGGCGGGUGCUAACGUCCGUCGUGAAGAGGGAAACAACCCAGACCGCCAGCUAAGGUCCCAAAGUCAUGGUUAAGUGGGAAACGAUGUGGGAAGGCCCAGACAGCCAGGAUGUUGGCUUAGAAGCAGCCAUCAUUUAAAGAAAGCGUAAUAGCUCACUGGUCGAGUCGGCCUGCGCGGAAGAUGUAACGGGGCUAAACCAUGCACCGAAGCUGCGGCAGCGAACGUAUCACUUAAAGCGAUUCAGCGGGUUACGAUUGACGGAGCGAAGCGACGUCAAAGCGUAUACAAAGUCGAGUCGGUUUAAGGAUACGUUCGUUGGGUAGGGGAGCGUUCUGUAAGCCUGCGAAGGUGGCCUGUGAGGGUUGCUGGAGGUAUCAGAAGUGCGAAUGCUGACAUAAGUAACGAUAAAGCGGGUGAAAAGCCCGCUCGCCGGAAGACCAAGGGUUCCUGUCCAACGUUAAUCGGGGCAGGGUGAGUCGACCCCUAAGGCGAGGCCGAAAGGCGUAGUCGAUGGGAAACGGGUUAAUAUUCCCGUACUUGGUGUUACUGCGAAGGGGGGACGGAGAAGGCUAUGUUGGCCGGGCGACGGUUGUCCCGGUUUAAGCGUGUAGGCUGGUUUUCCAGGCAAAUCCGGAAAAUCAAGGCUGAGGCGUGACGACGAGGCACUACGGUGCUGAAGCAACAAAUGCCCUGCUUCCAGGAAAAGCCUCUAAGCAUCAGGUAACACGAAAUCGUACCCCAAACCGACACAGGUGGUCAGGUAGAGAAUACCAAGGCGCUUGAGAGAACUCGGGUGAAGGAACUAGGCAAAAUGGUGCCGUAACUUCGGGAGAAGGCACGCUGACACG